This 433-nucleotide ribosomal RNA is filed under the name uncultured bacterium. RNAcentral's name for it is "partial 16S ribosomal RNA". It matches the Rfam family "Bacterial small subunit ribosomal RNA", at positions 29 to 507 of the family's 1533-position model. The record is from RNAcentral.
AACGAACGCUGGCGGCAUGCCUAACACAUGCAAGUCGAACGAGACCUUCGGGUCUAGUGGCGCACGGGUGCGUAACGCGUGGGAACCUGCCCUUAGGUUCGGAAUAACUCCCCGAAAGGGGUGCUAAUACCGGAUAAUGUCUUCGGACCAAAGAUUUAUCGCCUUUGGAUGGGCCCGCGUUGGAUUAGCUAGUUGGUAGGGUAAAAGCCUACCAAGGCGACGAUCCAUAGCUGGUCUGAGAGGAUGAUCAGCCACACUGGGACUGAGACACGGCCCAGACUCCUACGGAAGGCGGCAGUGGGGAAUAUUGGACAAUGGGCGAAAGCAUGAUCCAGCAAUGCCGCGUGAGUGAUGAAGGCCUUAGGGUUGUAAAGCUCUUUUACCCGGGACGAUAAUGACAGUACCGGGAGAAUAAGCACCGGCUAACUCCGUG